CCCACUACGCCGACGCAGCCGCACUUUCACCGCUAUAUAAACUGCCGCACUGCAUUCUCCCGUACCUCCAGUUGUUUCCUGGAUCACAGCUCUGCACCAUGUUCAGGUUUCUGGUACUGCUGGUUCUGGUGGCGCUGGCAGCGUGCGUGCUGGCGACCCACGAGCCGGGCCACACGGAGAGCGGCGGUGGCGCCUCUGGCGGCGUCCGCUACGGCGCAGGCGCGGGCAGCGUGUCCUCCGAGGGCGGGCACGGCCGGGAAGCCGGCUACGGCGACGCCUUCGGCCACGAGACGCACGGCAAGCAGUAGCCGGGAGCACCCCCGCUCACUCUGCACAGCGCCGCUGCCGCCUUCAUCACCGCCUCUCACCACAGCCGACAGUACUCAGCACAGUGACACACUACUCCUGCGUGGAAAUGCAUACCGGAGAACAUGCCAGUACAGACGCUAAAUAAUGGUAGCAGCUCUCGAGAUGUCCCACGAAAGCAGAGCAGAACACGUACCCAAAAGGACUAAUUGCCUCAGAUCAUCUCAAAAAGUAUUUGCAAUCAGAUUACAGUAAAAGUAACAUAGGCCAGAAUACCCUCGUCGUCUACUGCGUCACAUGACUGAUGUCUUCUGGAGGGUUGCCUUAUGAACAUAAGCAGCUGCCAUGUAUGUGGCGAACAAUUUCUGCAAAGACAUUUCAUGAGACACUACAACUGUGCGCCAAGUUAAAAUAGAAACUCUGCGCGAUUCAAGACCUGCACACAAUGUCUAUUUGCCAGUGCC
Long non-coding RNA from Schistocerca cancellata (South American locust), 770 nucleotides. RefSeq lists it as uncharacterized. Lineage: Eukaryota; Metazoa; Arthropoda; Insecta; Orthoptera; Acrididae. The record is from RefSeq and is a predicted model, not a curated record. The transcript is spliced from 2 exons.